RNAcentral lists this ribosomal RNA (305 nucleotides) under uncultured bacterium. RNAcentral describes it as "bacterial SSU rRNA". It matches the Rfam family "Bacterial small subunit ribosomal RNA", at positions 334 to 636 of the family's 1533-position model. The record is from RNAcentral.
AACGUCCUACGGGAGGCAGCAGUGAGGAAUAUUGGUCAAUGGUCGGGAGACUGAACCAGCCAAGCCGCGUGAGGGAGGAAGGUACAGAGUAUCGUAAACCUCUUUUGUCAGGGAACAAAGACUGGGACGCGUCCCCGGAUGAGUGUACCUGAAGAAAAAGCAUCGGCUAACUCCGUGCCAGCAGCCGCGGUAAUACGGAGGAUGCGAGCGUUAUCCGGAUUUAUUGGGUUUAAAGGGUGCGCAGGCGGUCUGUUAAGUCAGCGGUCAAAGCCCGGGGCUCAACCCCGGCCCGCCGUUGAAACUGG